UCUGUUUUCUCUAGAGGGUUAUACAUAACGGCAGCGAGCGCUCACACCUGGAACGAAAAAUUCAAGACUGGGCAUGUGGACUGGAAUAUAUGAUUUUCCCAAGUCUGCAUUUAGAAGAGUGAACUGCCAGAACAUCUGCGCUUGUUUUGGACAAGAGACUAAAGAAACAAAGGCCCUGUCCCUGGAGCCAAAAGAAUCCCCAUGUGUUGUUAGGAGUGUAGUGCCGAAGACACAGCUGAACAAGAUGAACUCCAUUUUACCAGAAGCAUUGACACAAAUGGAAAUUUAAAUGAUAGAUCUGAAAAUGCCAAUCGUGUCGACAUGGGAGGAAGGUGCCAACAUGCCGUUGACAGACACACCGAGUUACGCCGGUUGAACACCUACUCCCGUAUCGUCAGGAGGCCAACCUGUGGCUCGCUAACUGUGCCUUGCUCACAGCUUGUUCAAACCUGACUCCCAUGUUGGAGCCAUCCUGUCACUGUCACUAUGUUCCUAAUACUCAGCUGUGGGAGAAAACUAGCCAGGAAGGGCUGCUGAGGCCAACAGUGCCAGGUCACCUGAGCAAGCAGGAGAUCUCUGAGGAGAUUCUCAGGGAAGAUCCUAGGAUGACAUCUAAGGAUCUCUGAGGACGUAGAUCUACUGUCUCCUACCUGGAAGCUGGUCCCAGAGCCCUCCGGACUCUUGGUUCUUUGAGGUAUGUGUCUUGGGGCUACUGGACCUAGGAAGAUUCUCACAUAUGCAGUUGAUGGCAAAAUAAAAGGUGGCCACUGCUGCUUGAUUGCUUCUGU
RNAcentral lists this long non-coding RNA (788 nucleotides) under Struthio camelus australis. RNAcentral's name for it is "lncRNA (ENSSCUG00000003153.1)". Lineage: Eukaryota; Metazoa; Chordata; Aves; Struthioniformes; Struthionidae. The record is from RNAcentral.